CGGGACCCCCCCGGGGACCCCCGCGGGACCCCCCGCUCAGCGCCGCUGCCCCGCAGGUGGCGAGGGGGGGAGCGAUGCGCAACGGCCCCGCGCCCCCCAUCCCGCGGUUGGGCAUCGCGCCCUACAACUGGAACACGGAGUGUCUCCGGGGCGAUGCCGAGGCACCUGGGUGGGCCACGGCCUUCCCACAGGCGCUGGGGCUCGCUGCCACCUUCAGCCCUGAGCUCAUCUACCGGGUGGCCAACGCCACGGCCACCGAGGUGAGAGCCAAGCACAACGACUUCGCAGCCACCGGCCGCUACGGGGACCACACCGGGCUCAGCUGCUUCAGCCCCGUCCUGAACAUCAUGAGACACCCGCUGUGGGGCAGGAACCAGGAGACCUACGGGGAGGACCCGUUCCUGAGCGGGGAGCUGGGCCGCAGCUUUGUGCAGGGGCUGCAGGGCCAGCACCCCCGCUACAUCAAGGCCAGCGCCGGCUGCAAACACUUCAGUGUGCACGGGGGCCCUGAGAACAUCCCCGAAUCCAGGCUCAGCUUCGACGCCAAGGCGAGUGCGGCGGGUCCAGGGGUGGCAGGAGGGCAGGUGACACUCCAGGUGCUGACCCUGCUCUGCUGCGGCGCUUGCAGGUGCUGGAGCGGGACUGGCGCAUGACCUUCCUGCCCCAGUUCCAUGCGUGUGUCCGUGCUGGCUCCUUCAGCUUCAUGUGCAGCUACAACAGGUUGGGAGCACGGUGGGGGCCACAUGGGCUGGGCUGCCCAUGGCAUGGCCGGUGCCUGGCUCUCCAGGCUGCCCCAUCCCCUCUCCGACAGGAUCAACGGUGUUCCCGCCUGUGCCAACAAGAAGCUGCUGACAGACAUCCUGCGUGGCGAGUGGGGCUUCGAGGGGUACGUGGUGAGCGAUGAGGGGGCCCUGGAACUCAUCAUGCUGGGGCACCACUACACACACACCUUCCUGGAGACGGCAGUCGCCUCAGUCAACGCCGGCUGCAACCUGGAGCUCUCCUAUGGCAUGAGGAACAACAUCUUCAUGCACAUCCCUCAGGCUCUGGCCAUGGGCAACAUCACGCUGCAGAUGCUGCGUGACCGAGUCCGGCCCCUCUUCUACACGCGGAUGCGGCUGGGGGAGUUCGACCCCCCAGAGAUGAACCCCUACAGUGCCCUGGACCUGAGCGUGGUGCAGAGCCCUGAGCACCGCAACCUCUCGCUGGAAGCUGCUGUCAAGAGCUUUGUGCUGCUGAAGAACAUUCGGGGCACUCUGCCCCUGCGGGCCCAGGACCUGCCCGGCCAGCGCCUCGCGGUGGUGGGUCCCUUCGCUGACAACCCCAGGGUGCUGUUCGGGGACUACGCGCCGGUGCCAGAGCCUCAGUACAUCCACACUCCCCGGAGGGGGCUGGAGACGCUGGGGGCCAACGUCAGCUUCGCGGCGGGCUGCGGCGAGCCCCGGUGCUGGCGGUACUCCCGGG
This 1464-nucleotide long non-coding RNA is filed under the name Lepidothrix coronata (blue-crowned manakin). RNAcentral's name for it is "lncRNA (ENSLCOG00000000320.1)". Lineage: Eukaryota; Metazoa; Chordata; Aves; Passeriformes; Pipridae. The record is from RNAcentral.